AUGAGAGGUCAUGUGAAAGAAAGCACAGUUGUCCCAACUAAGGCUCUCCUAGGCCACCUCCCAGCCAGCCAACCCCUUACAUGUGAGAGAGCCAAGCCUAGAUCAGCAGACCUUCCUGCCAUCACACAGCUGUCUUCAGAUGUGUGGGUGAAACCAACUGAGACCACAGGAACCAUGCAGUUACCCUCAGUUCCAACGAGCAAGAAGAUUGGCUAUAAAAACUCCUGGGUAAAAUCAUCAUUCAAGAAGCCAAAGUUUCCUGAGGCCAUGAACAGCUACCAGCCACAAGGAAUGAUCCAUGGGAAUGAGGAAGCAACCCAAGAACCCAGUUUCUUGGAAGGCCAGUCUUUGAUGAUUAAAAGGGCAGGUACCACACUGUAUGCAUAAGGAGCUCCCCUUUCUGGGCCCGUGACAUUUCCCGCCAAAUCUGAAGUCCCUACUGUGAAGGAACUGUGAAAUACUGACUCCAGAUCCAGGUUUUCUUGUCUUCUGGAAACACAGAGCGGCUCCACUCCCAGACUGCAGCAGACUUCUCCUCCCUGCACAUUCAACCCCUGUAUUCUAACCACGGGUGCGAUUCCAAACUCUUACUAUACUUAUGGCCUUGUUCCUUGCACUAUGCUAAAACCUUAGGUUAACUAUGCUGUCCAUAUUCUGCACAUUCAUGUCUCUUAAAUAAAUACAUACUUUUUAUAUUGGAGAUUUCAAAUUGCCUACAAAGCAUGUCACACACAUGGUGAGGACUAGUCAAGUAUGAAAUAGUAUAGAGUAAAAGUGUUUCAAGGCAGACAAACUGACCUAAAUUUACAGACAAUUGUUUUUCAUUGUUAGGACUUCACUAAUGAUUGUAUUUGCUCCAUCUUGUCAAGGUGGAUCUGCCAUUUAUGUAAUCCAUUGAUCUACAGACAAGAAUUAAUUAUGGAACUCAGCAACUUCUGUCAAAAU
RNAcentral lists this long non-coding RNA (945 nucleotides) under Callithrix jacchus (white-tufted-ear marmoset). RNAcentral describes it as "lncRNA (ENSCJAG00000077761.1)". The record is from RNAcentral. Lineage: Eukaryota; Metazoa; Chordata; Mammalia; Primates; Cebidae.